RNAcentral lists this ribosomal RNA (751 nucleotides) under uncultured bacterium. Its description in RNAcentral is "bacterial SSU rRNA". It matches the Rfam family "Bacterial small subunit ribosomal RNA", at positions 1 to 755 of the family's 1533-position model. The record is from RNAcentral.
UUAGAGUUUGAUCCUGGCUCAGGAUGAACGCUAGCGGCAGGCCUAAUACAUGCAAGUCGAGGGGUAACAUGACAGCAAUGUUGAUGACGACCGGCGCACGGGUGCGUAACGCGUAUGCAACCUACCUUUUACUGGGGAAUAGCCCGGAGAAAUUCGGAUUAACACCGCAUAAUAUAUCGAGAAGGCAUCUUUUUGAUAUUAAAUAUUUAUAGGUAAAAGAUGGGCAUGCGUCCAAUUAGCUAGUUGGUAGUGUAACGGACUACCAAGGCGAUGAUUGGUAGGGGUUCUGAGAGGAAGGUCCCCCACACUGGUACUGAGAUACGGACCAGACUCCUACGGGAGGCAGCAGUAGGGAAUAUUGGGCAAUGGACGAGAGUCUGACCCAGCCAUGCCGCGUGCAGGAUGAAGGCCUUCUGGGUUGUAAACUGCUUUUGAUCGGGAACAAAAUAUCCUUGCGAGGAGAACUGAGUGUACCGAUAGAAUAAGCACCGGCUAACUCCGUGCCAGCAGCCGCGGUAAUACGGAGGGUGCAAGCGUUGUCCGGAUUUAUUGGGUUUAAAGGGUGCGUAGGCGGCUUUUUAAGUCAGUGGUGAAAUUUUGCAGCUCAACUGUAACAUUGCCAUUGAUACUGAAGAGCUUGAGUACAGAUGAGGUAGGCGGAAUUUAUGGUGUAGCGGUGAAAUGCAUAGAUACCAUAAAGAACACCGAUUGCGAACGCAGCUUACUAAGCUGUAACUGACGCUGAGGCACG